UACAGAGGGUGCGAGCGUUUGUUCGGAAUUAUUGGGCGUAAAGGGCGCGUAGGCGGCGCCACAAGUCACUUGUGAAAACUCUGGGCUCAACUCAGAGCCUGCAAGCGAAACUGUGGUGCUGGAGUAUGGGAGAGGUGCGUGGAAUUCCCGGUGUAGCGGUGAAAUGCGUAGAGAUCCGGAGGAACACCAAAGGCGAAGGCAGUGUCCUGGGGAGUACCUGACGCUCAGGUGCGAAAGCCAGGGGAGCGAACGGG
RNAcentral lists this ribosomal RNA (254 nucleotides) under uncultured bacterium. RNAcentral's name for it is "partial 16S ribosomal RNA". It matches the Rfam family "Bacterial small subunit ribosomal RNA", at positions 524 to 776 of the family's 1533-position model. The record is from RNAcentral.